UACGUAGGGUGCAAGCGUUGUCCGGAAUUAUUGGGCGUAAAGAGCUCGUAGGCGGUCUGUCGCGUCUGCUGUGAAAACUCAGGGCUCAACCCCGGGCCUGCAUUCGAUACGGGCAGACUAGAGUUCGGUAGGGGAGUCUGGAAUUCCUGGUGUAGCGGUGAAAUGCGCAGAUAUCAGGAGGAACACCGGUGGCGAAGGCGGGACUCUGGGCCGAUACUGACGCUGAGGAGCGAAAGCGUGGGGAGCAAACAGG
Molecule: ribosomal RNA, 253 nt
Filed under: uncultured bacterium
Lineage: Bacteria
Description: partial 16S ribosomal RNA
Rfam family: Bacterial small subunit ribosomal RNA
Source: RNAcentral